CUAAUGCCUGGAACUGCAUAAAUUUCUUCUACAAAGGAAGCCCACAGGUCGUUUUUAUUUGGAGCACUUUUUUUAAUAUGCGCCACAAUAUAUUCCGGAAUAUCAGACAUUAAUGAACCAGUAAAGAAGAUACUGAGGUGCAGAAGAGCUUUCCCAGUGUCCCGGGAGCCAUUCUACACAGCAUCCUACAGAAUGACUGUGGAUCUGCUGUGCUUAGUUUCUUUACUUGUGAAAACAGAGUAAUAGCAGCACCUACCUCACAGGGUUGUUCUGAAGAUUAGAGGGGUUCUUUCAUGGGAAGCUCUAGAGCAGUGCUUGAGACAUGACUCCAUCCCAGACACAGCAUACCAGAGUCUCCAAAGGGCUAAGCUCAGCAAUCUGUUCUCAAGCUCCCAACAGGAGUCUUAUAUAGUCAGGCAGGCAAUGAUCAUAUAUGGGGACCAUUAGAAAUAAUCUAAUGCAUACCCUCUGAACUUCAAAUUUUUAGUAUUCUCAUUUUCUGCUCAAGCUCAAUUUCAACACAGUUCACAGUUUCUCAUAUCCACCAUGGCAUUCUGCCAAGGAACUACAACUCGUGUUCUCUAAACCCAUCUGUUCUAAGAAUGCUGGGCUGGUUAUCAAUUUCUAAUGUACCUGCUUAAACUUUCCUCUCUCAAUAUGUCCCUGACUGAACUGCAGAAGACAGAACAACUGUACUAGCCAUCUCUUUCUGCAUAUCCCAUGUCCCCACAGAGGCCACUGUGUCUUCAUAAAGCUAACUGCCACGAUUUUCACAAGUGAUAUU
This 784-nucleotide long non-coding RNA is filed under the name Homo sapiens (human). RNAcentral describes it as "HSALNT0352029". The record is from RNAcentral. Lineage: Eukaryota; Metazoa; Chordata; Mammalia; Primates; Hominidae.